Molecule: ribosomal RNA, 468 nt
Filed under: uncultured bacterium
Lineage: Bacteria
Description: partial 16S ribosomal RNA
Rfam family: Bacterial small subunit ribosomal RNA
Source: RNAcentral
GACGAACGCUGGCGGCGUGCUUAACUCCCCCCCCCCCCCCCCCCCCCCCCUGCUUUUGUGGGGUGCUCGAGUGGCGAACGGGUGAGUAACACGUGAGUAACCUGCCCUUGACUUUGGGAUAACUUCAGGAAACUGGGGCUAAUACCGGAUAGGAGCUCCUGCUGCAUGGUGGGGGUUGGAAAGUUUCGGCGGUUGGGGAUGGACUCGCGGCUUAUCAGCUUGUUGGUGGGGUAGUGGCCUACCAAGGCUUUGACGGGUAGCCGGCCUGAGAGGGUGACCGGCCACAUUGGGACUGAGAUACGGCCCAGACUCCUACGGGAGGCAGCAGUGGGGAAUAUUGCACAAUGGGCGGAAGCCUGAUGCAGCAACGCCGCGUGCGGGAUGACGGCCUUCGGGUUGUAAACCGCUUUCGCCUGUGACGAAGCGUGAGUGACGGUAAUGGGUAAAGAAGCACCGGCUAACUACGUG